This 253-nucleotide ribosomal RNA is filed under the name uncultured bacterium. Its description in RNAcentral is "partial 16S ribosomal RNA". It matches the Rfam family "Bacterial small subunit ribosomal RNA", at positions 524 to 776 of the family's 1533-position model. The record is from RNAcentral.
UACGUAGGGUCCGAGCGUUAAUCGGAAUUACUGGGCGUAAAGCGUGCGCAGGCGGUUUUGUAAGCCAGAUGUGAAAUCCCCGGGCUUAACCUGGGAAUGGCAUUUGGGACUGCAAGGCUUGAGUGCGGCAGAGGGGGGUGGAAUUCCGGGUGUAGUGGUGAAAUGCGUAGAGAUCCGGAGGAACACCUGUGGCGAAGGCGGCCCCCUGGGCCGCACCUGACGCUGAGACGCGAAAGCGCGGGGAGCGAACGGG